Molecule: long non-coding RNA, 227 nt
Organism: Melanotaenia boesemani (Boeseman's rainbowfish)
Lineage: Eukaryota; Metazoa; Chordata; Actinopteri; Atheriniformes; Melanotaeniidae
Exons: 3
Source: RefSeq, a predicted model, not a curated record
GCUGGCAGCACGUGGUGUAACGGAAACCUACGAGCCUGCGUGCUCUAGCCUGGAGCUGCUCUUAAAGGGCCAGCGUCACUAAAAUACCCCACACAGUUAUCACAAUACCAGCUUUACAAGCAGAACGAAUGUGAACAGUUUACCAAACCAAGACUUGGUGGUUCACAUGUUGCAGCUGCAGAGCCGAAUGUCGCCAUGGCCAGGAAAGUGUCUCAGAAACAAGUCAC